GCUUUCUUACAAUACCAUACACCACAAAAAUUAUUUUUCUUCUCAUUUCUUGAAAGCUCUCUCUCGUCUCUAGAAUCUAAUAUACACAGACAGUACUCUACCAUUCUAAUUCAGAAUCCUCAAAAACAAGCUACACCAAUUACUCUCUUUUCGUGUAUUUCAAGCUUUGCAUAAUGAGUAAUUGCCGUAGAAAUCAAAUUCUUCUUAUUUGGUUGUUGAUUCUGUUCAUCUUCAUUGCUGCUCAUUGCAAUGGCUCCAGAACCUCUCGUGUAUUCAAAAUCAAACCCGAAUCUCAAAAUUCAGGCCGUUUUUUAUACUUCCUGCCCAAAAGGAUCCCAAUACCGGCCUCCGGUCCAUCCAGAAAACACAAUGAAAUUGGGCUAGAGACUUGGAGAUUACCUUGAAGAAGAUACAUUACUGAACAGAAAUGAAGACAACUCUUUUGACACAAGAAAUGGCACUCUUUACAUAUUUUAGAGCCAAGAAAAACAUGUUGAAUUGAUAUUGUGUGCAUAUAUGGAUUUGUAGAAAUGCCUUCUUUUCUCAUCUUUAUUCUUUUUCAUUUCUUGCUUUGCUAACGAGGUUUUGCAUUACAUUUUUCUUUGGGUUGUUUUCUAUCUUCUGCUAGAUCUAAGGUUUAUUGAGUUAAUUAGUUGUUUUGUUUGUUGCAUUCUCCUUGUUUUCGAAUUUCGAGCUGUCAAGAAAACCCUCAUCUUUGUA
This 720-nucleotide long non-coding RNA is filed under the name Olea europaea subsp. europaea. Lineage: Eukaryota; Viridiplantae; Streptophyta; Magnoliopsida; Lamiales; Oleaceae. The record is from RNAcentral.